Molecule: long non-coding RNA, 232 nt
Organism: Haliotis rubra (blacklip abalone)
Lineage: Eukaryota; Metazoa; Mollusca; Gastropoda; Lepetellida; Haliotidae
Exons: 2
Source: RefSeq, a predicted model, not a curated record
AGAGGUUACCAUGGAGAUUGUACGAACGAUUCAAUGUCUCUCUCCUCGGGCAAGGCCGUUUGGUUUGUUGGUUAGCAAUACUCAACAUGAUUCCAGCGAUAUGACGGCGGUCUAUGUAUUCAUCGGAAGUCGUGGUAGUGGAGGACAUCUACAGUCUAGCUGCACAACAACACCCCGUGGACCUCGGGGAUCACGCCUGAAAAAAGAAUAAAGAAUAUCCUUCAGAUCGAAA